UGGGGAAUAUUGGACAAUGGGCGCAAGCCUGAUCCAGCCAUGCCGCGUGAGUGAUGACGGCCUUAGGGUUGUAAAGCUCUUUCGGCGGGGACGAUAAUGACGGUACCCGCAGAAGAAGCCCCGGCUAACUUCGUGCCAGCAGCCGCGGUAAUACGAAGGGGGCUAGCGUUGUUCGGAAUCACUGGGCGUAAAGGGCGCGUAGGCGGCUUUGUAAGUCGGGGGUGAAAGCCUGUGGCUCAACCACAGAAUUGCCUUCGAUACUGCAAGGCUUGAGACCGGAAGAGGUUAGUGGAACUGCGAGUGUAGAGGUGAAAUUCGUAGAUAUUCGCAAGAACACCAGUGGCGAAGGCGGCUGACUGGUCCGGAUCUGACGCUGAGGCGCGAAAGCGUGGGGAGCAAACAGG
This 404-nucleotide ribosomal RNA is filed under the name Bacillota bacterium. Its description in RNAcentral is "Firmicutes bacterium partial 16S ribosomal RNA". It matches the Rfam family "Bacterial small subunit ribosomal RNA", at positions 355 to 776 of the family's 1533-position model. The record is from RNAcentral. Lineage: Bacteria; Bacillati; Bacillota.